RNAcentral lists this transfer RNA (71 nucleotides) under Pelodiscus sinensis (Chinese soft-shelled turtle). It matches the Rfam family "tRNA". From Rfam's summary of the family: Transfer RNA (tRNA) molecules are approximately 80 nucleotides in length. Their secondary structure includes four short double-helical elements and three loops (D, anti-codon, and T loops). The record is from Rfam by way of RNAcentral. Lineage: Eukaryota; Metazoa; Chordata; Testudines; Trionychidae.
GGUUCUAUGGUGUAACAGGCAACACUCAGGACUUUGAAUCCUGCAAUCUGAGCUCAAAUCUGAUGGGACCU